AUCGAUUCAAAAUAACAAGAAAAGAAACUCAUAAUGUGAGUUAUUCCACUUAAAAUAGAGGAAUGGAAGGAACAAGAGAAAGAAUAUGCAUCUCGCGAUGCCCCCCAGCACGAGACUAUUUUCCCCUUGAAGUGUAAGGCGAGGUAACUUGUGAGAUGGGGACAAGAGUCCUUUAGCAGCUGCCACAGGCAAUAUCCUUAUAAUCCCCCCAGGCGACGAAUGUUGGCUGUGGACGAGUUGCCCUUCAUGGAGAAGUUACUCGAGGAAGAAGGAGAUGGAAGAAAAAGAAAAGGAAGAGACAAAAACAUGUCAACCACAGUUUCCUCCUUGAAGUGUAGGGCAAGGUAAUUCACGAGAUGGAGAUAAGAAUCCUCUUACGGUUGCCACAGACAAUGUCCUUUUCACCACCACAAGCAAUAAAUGUUGGGCGUCGAUGAUUCACCCUUCAUGGAGAAGUUACUUGAGGAAGAAGAAGAUGAAAGAAAAAGAAAAGGAAGAGAAAAAAACAUGUCAACCACAGUUUACCCCUUGAAGUGUAGGGCAAGGCAAUUCAAG
This 555-nucleotide long non-coding RNA is filed under the name Eucalyptus grandis. RNAcentral describes it as "long non-coding RNA (EGRA_LNC002366)". The record is from RNAcentral. Lineage: Eukaryota; Viridiplantae; Streptophyta; Magnoliopsida; Myrtales; Myrtaceae.